GACGAACGCUGGCGGCGUGCCUAAUACAUGCAAGUAGAACGCUGAAGAGAGGAGCUUGCUCUUCUUGGAUGAGUUGCGCACGGGUGAGUAACGCGUAGGUAACCUGCCUUGUAGCGGGGGAUAACUAUUGGAAACGAUAGCUAAUACCGCAUAACAAUGGAUGACACAUGUCCUUUAUUUGAAAGGGGCAAUUGCUCCACUACAAGAUGGACCUGCGUUGUAUUAGCUAGUAGGUGAGGUAAUGGCUCACCUAGGCGACGAUACAUAGCCGACCUGAGAGGGUGAUCGGCCACACUGGGACUGAGACAAGGCCCAGACUCCUACGGGAGGCAGCAGUAGGGAAUCUUCGGCAAUGGGGGCAACCCUGACCGAGCAACGCCGCGUGAGUGAAGAAGGUUUUCGGAUCGUAAAGCUCUGUUGUAAGUCAAGAACGGGUGUGAGAGUGGAAAGUUCACACUGUGACGGUAGCUGACCAGAAAGGGACGGCUAACUACGUG
RNAcentral lists this ribosomal RNA (497 nucleotides) under uncultured bacterium. RNAcentral's name for it is "partial 16S ribosomal RNA". It matches the Rfam family "Bacterial small subunit ribosomal RNA", at positions 28 to 507 of the family's 1533-position model. The record is from RNAcentral.